UACGGGGGGGGCAAGCGUUGUUCGGAAUUACUGGGCGUAAAGGGCUCGUAGGUGGCCAACUAAGUCAGACGUGAAAUCCCCAGGCUCAACUUGGGAACUGCGUCUGAUACUGGAUGGCUUGAAUUCGGGAGAGGGAUGCAGAAUUCCAGGUGUAGCGGUGAAAUGCGUAGACAUCUGGAGGAAUACCGGUGGCGAAGGCGGCAUCCUGGACCGAUAUUGACACUGAUGAGCGAAAGCUAGGGGAGCAAACGGG
RNAcentral lists this ribosomal RNA (253 nucleotides) under uncultured bacterium. RNAcentral describes it as "partial 16S ribosomal RNA". It matches the Rfam family "Bacterial small subunit ribosomal RNA", at positions 524 to 776 of the family's 1533-position model. The record is from RNAcentral.